CCUACGGGGAGCUGCAGUGGGGGAUAUUGCACAAUGGGGGGAACCCUGAUGCAGCGACGCCGCGUGGGUGAAGAAGCGCCUCGGCGCGUAAAGCCCUGUCAGCAGGGAAGAAAAUGACGGUACCUGAAGAAGAAGCCCCGGCUAACUACGUGCCAGCAGCCGCGGUAAUACGUAGGGGGCAAGCGUUAUCCAGAUUUACUGGGUGGAAAGGGGGCGCAGACGGCGAUGCAAGCCAGGAGUGAAAGCCCGGGGCCCAACCCCGGGACUGCUCUUGGAACUGCGUGGCUGGAGUGCAGGAGGGGCAGGCGGAAUUCCUGGUGUAGCGGUGAAAUGCGUAGAUAUCAGGAGGAACACCGGUGGCGAAGGCGGCCUGCUGGACUGCAACUGACGUUGAGGCCCGAAAGCGUGGGGAGCAAACAGGAUUAGAUACCCCUGUAGUC
RNAcentral lists this ribosomal RNA (440 nucleotides) under uncultured bacterium. Its description in RNAcentral is "partial 16S ribosomal RNA". It matches the Rfam family "Bacterial small subunit ribosomal RNA", at positions 338 to 795 of the family's 1533-position model. The record is from RNAcentral.